CGAUCUGAGCUCAGGCAAGAUUACCCGCUGAACUUAAGCAUAUCAAUAAGCGGAGGA
This 57-nucleotide ribosomal RNA is filed under the name Schroederia setigera. Its description in RNAcentral is "partial 28S ribosomal RNA". It matches the Rfam family "Eukaryotic large subunit ribosomal RNA", at positions 1 to 57 of the family's 3401-position model. The record is from RNAcentral. Lineage: Eukaryota; Viridiplantae; Chlorophyta; Chlorophyceae; Sphaeropleales; Schroederiaceae.